Molecule: ribosomal RNA, 552 nt
Filed under: uncultured bacterium
Lineage: Bacteria
Description: partial 16S ribosomal RNA
Rfam family: Bacterial small subunit ribosomal RNA
Source: RNAcentral
UAGGGAACCUUCCACAAUGGACGCAAGUCUGAUGGAGCAACGCCGCGUGAGUGAAGAAGGUUUUCGGACCGUAAAGCUCUGUUGUUGGUGAAGAAGGAUAGAGGUAGUAACUGGCCCUUUAUUUGACGGUAAUCAACCAGAAAGUCACGGCUAACUACGUGCCAGCAGCCGCGGUAAUACGUAGGUGGCAAGCGUUGUCCGGAUUUAUUGGGCGUAAAGCGAGCGCAGGCGGAAGAAUAAGUCUGAUGUGAAAGCCCUCGGCUUAACCGAGGAAUUGCAUCGGAAACUGUUUUCUGAGUGCAGAAGAGGAGAGUAGAACUCCAUGUGUAGCGGUGGAAUGCGUAGAUAUAUGGAAGAAUACCAGUGGCGAAGGCGGCUCUCUGGUCUGCAACUGACGCUGAGGCUCGAAAGCAUGGGUAGCGAACAGGAUUAGAUACCCUGGUAGUCCAUGCCGUAAACGAUGAGUGCUAAGUGUUGGGAGGCUUCCGCCUCUCAGUGCUGCAGCUAACGCAUUAAGCACUCCGCCUGGGGGAGUACGACCGCAAGGUUGAA